RNAcentral lists this ribosomal RNA (253 nucleotides) under uncultured bacterium. RNAcentral's name for it is "partial 16S ribosomal RNA". It matches the Rfam family "Bacterial small subunit ribosomal RNA", at positions 524 to 776 of the family's 1533-position model. The record is from RNAcentral.
UACGUAGGGGGCAAGCGUUGUCCGGAUUUAUUGGGCUUAAAGGGUGCGUAGGCGGCUUUGUAAGUCAGUGGUGAAAUACUCUAGCUUAACUAGAGGGGUGCCAUUGAUACUGCGGAGCUUGAGUACAGAUGAGGUAGGCGGAAUUGACGGUGUAGCGGUGAAAUGCAUAGAUAUCGGCAAGAACACCGAUAGCGAAGGCAGCUUACUGGGCUGUAACUGACGCUGAUGCACGAAAGUGUGGGGAUCAAACAGG